RNAcentral lists this transfer RNA (72 nucleotides) under Intestinozyma alai. RNAcentral describes it as "Candida alai tRNA-Asp". It matches the Rfam family "tRNA". From Rfam's summary of the family: Transfer RNA (tRNA) molecules are approximately 80 nucleotides in length. Lineage: Eukaryota; Fungi; Ascomycota; Pichiomycetes; Serinales; Debaryomycetaceae. The record is from RNAcentral.
GCAUAAAUAGCUUAAAGGUAAAGCAUUAUAAUGUCACUAUAAUAGAUGUCAGUUCGAAUCUGAUUUUAUGCG